RNAcentral lists this transfer RNA (75 nucleotides) under Felis catus (domestic cat). It matches the Rfam family "tRNA". From Rfam's summary of the family: Transfer RNA (tRNA) molecules are approximately 80 nucleotides in length. Their secondary structure includes four short double-helical elements and three loops (D, anti-codon, and T loops). Lineage: Eukaryota; Metazoa; Chordata; Mammalia; Carnivora; Felidae. The record is from Rfam by way of RNAcentral. RNAcentral also lists the same sequence under 1 other name.
ACCUGACUGGCCCAGAUUAGGUAGGGCAGGAGACUCUUAAUCUUGGGGUUGUGAGUUCUGUCCCCAUGUUGGGUG